RNAcentral lists this long non-coding RNA (264 nucleotides) under Homo sapiens (human). RNAcentral describes it as "HSALNT0148072". The record is from RNAcentral. Lineage: Eukaryota; Metazoa; Chordata; Mammalia; Primates; Hominidae.
GCAAGCGUGUCCCCAUGGGUUUUCCAUAUGCAUCUCUGUUGCCCACGAAGCGCUGGACUAAGCAUGCCUGGGAAAAGAAAGGGGCGAGACUGAAACUUUUUCUCCUGACUUCCCUGACUUCCCAGGAGUCUGUCUGGUACCUAGAGGAGAAGGUGAGAAAUGAAGAAGAAAAUGCUGCCCAAUUUCCUUCAUUUCCAAUUGAGAGACUCUUUCAAGAUUUCCCAUCUCUGAAUUUGCCAACUUUCAGUUUCACUUUCUGACAAA